Molecule: long non-coding RNA, 2314 nt
Organism: Oryctolagus cuniculus (rabbit)
Lineage: Eukaryota; Metazoa; Chordata; Mammalia; Lagomorpha; Leporidae
Source: Ensembl
CCCACAGUGUUGGCGCCCUGUAGAAAUCUAUGAGCACAUCUUCCAGUUUUAGUUCACUGUGGAAAGGGCCAGACACACCUAAUAAAGACAUUGGGGGACCGGCGAUGCGCUAGAACACGCAGAUCUCAACUUCCAACUCAGGCCGUGCUGUCCCUCGGGGUAACUAUUGAUUUGGUAUUUAAGUUCUGUCAAUAUUUACCUCUUCAGUCGAUGAAGUUUGAUGUCUAUGUCAGGGCACUGAUAUCUGCUUCGAGUUUAUUUCUCACUUCCUGCUUUUGUUCUAUCAGCCUAGGGAGGAGAAUGGGGUUUGGCUGGGGAGAACGGUUCCUAGACGCCCUGGUGUAGGAUGGGGCCGUAGUUCCGUUUCUCCCCCUUGUGCCUCGGCGUCCUGGGUGGCUGCAGAGGUCCCUUCACCACUGGCAUCUGAUGCCUCCAUCCUUGAAUAUCUAGAAGGAUAAGGUAGGUGAAUCACCCAAGUUUUGCGGGUGGCAAGUCGGGAAGAGAAAACAUCGUUUUCCAUUUGGAUAAAGAACAGUGUUUGCACUGACUUCAACUGUGCCUGCUUGGAAGCAGAUUUCUGCAGGACACCAUGCAAACAUUGACAGGGCCUUCAAACUGGGACUCAGGAGGCCAGACCCUGUCAGAGGACUGUGGGCCCUGUGGUAGGGCCUGCUGGAGACCCCUGUGAGGCCUCCCCGCCUGGAACCUGAGUUCUCUCUGAUCCAAUGCCCUGGCCAGCAGCUGCAGAAGGGACCAGCACCCAUGUUCACCCCAGCCAUGCUCUGCAGAGCUGUUCAGGGGUCAACGACUGUGUUACAAGAGCUGUGAGGGUGACCGGCCCAAAGCUUCCCCUACAGCAAGGGCACAGCCAGUCAACUUCCAAGUGAGGCCGGGAGCUGGGGCCUCCUGCCUUCCCAGGGCUGUAUCUCCCCUUAGCUCUCUAUGGAAACAAUAAAUCUGGGUUGGAUGCCGUGUGCACUCUGCCCUGUUCUAGGAAGGGAGCAACCCAGACAACCGUCACCAGCCGCAGUAGUUCAUUCUGGGGUGUGCACCCGCCUGGGACCCGAGGACGUUUCCACAAGAGACCAGCAUUGGAAUCUGUGGCCUGAAGAAAGGCACGCACCUCCCACUAAACCUCCUUCCCCUCUCUCAUUGUUGCUGCACGAAAGACCUGCCUCCUCUCUGGAUCCGUUGGUUAAGCAGAGGCACCUGCACAUAGGAAGUGGCUGGGAUGAAGGCCUGGCCCUGGACUCUUCCUCUGCUCUCCCAGAAUUUGCACUUAACUGGUACCCACAAAUUACUCACCCUGGUUAGGACGCUCCAAUUUGGGCAUUUUUUCUUUUCUUGAAAGGCAGGAAGACACAGAGAGAGAGAGAGAUCUUCCACCUGCUGGAUUACUCCUCAAAUGCCUGCAGCAGCCAGGGCUGGACCAGGUCAAAGUCAGGAGCCUGGAACUCAAUCCAGGUCUCUCCCAUGGAUGACAGGGCCUCAAGUUCUUGAGCCAUCACCUGCCGCUCCUCCUCCCCCGCCUCCCCCGCCAGAAAGCACGUUAGCAGGAAACUGGAUUGGAAGUGGAGGAACCAGGACUCGAACCAGGCACUCCGAUGUAGGAUGUGGGCAUCCCAAGUGGUGACUUAAGAUACUGUGCCAAACACUUGUCCUGAAUUUGGCCAAUUAGGAAUUUCAUGCAAUUCCAACAACAGCAAUGUGGUUCAGGAAAACAUGAAGAUACAUCGAGAUUUGGGGAGAAUUUUUGGUAAGGUGGAGGUAUCAUGAUUGCCCAGUUGCAGGAGAGUUUUGGCCUCAGGCAACAAGGGGACACUGGGCAGGCAGCCUGAAACCCUGGAGCCUACACAGUCUGUCUUCCAGAGCUGAACUGUGACCUGUCAUGGUCGAGGAGGCCAAGAAAGCAGGGAGGAGAAAACAAGACAGCUACUGUGGGCAUCAGGAGAACCCAGGCAAGCUGAGUGGCCAAGAGGAAGCCAAGCAUUCCAGUGGACAGACCAAGCGCAGCCUCUGACAGGAGAGCCAGCAGGCAGGGAUGGACAGCACCCUGGCCACCACCCCCACGCCUUUGGCCCUGCUCUCUGGACAGCUGCAUGCCUGGAGUCCACCUCCAGGUCCCCAAAUCAAACCUGGCAGAUGACAGGUAAACUAGCUCAGAGUCAAUUCAACAAGGACAGUGCGUGUCCACUUUCUCCAUAAGGAAUCAAUGUUCACCUCUCCCAGCACGCAUCGCUUCCUAACACUGAGGCAUCCUGAUAUGGAGUAAACAAGGAAGCUGAGAAUCAGCAUCUAUGUUUUAGAUCGGAGA